This is a non-coding RNA of Leptonychotes weddellii (Weddell seal), 406 nucleotides long. The record is from RefSeq and is a predicted model, not a curated record. NCBI's taxonomy places the organism in Eukaryota, Metazoa, Chordata, Mammalia, Carnivora, Phocidae.
UCGGAGACCAUCCCCUUCCCACGUCGGUGAUCUCAGUGCCUGCCCUCCCCUUCCUUCCGCGGAACCCCUCCCUGAGCAGCAGCAAGCGCGCUGGCUUCCCAAGGAGAGAUGAUGGAUCCGUGGUAGCAGGUGGUGCAAACGGCGGCGAGAAACGACCCUGGGGACCCCAGUCCGAGAGUCCUAAGGGCUCCAGUCAGAGCAAAGGUCCUGGUCUGGGUUGCUGGCAUGUUCACUCUUCAGGGUAAACUGAGAAUAAAUUCAAAGACAAAUCACCAAAGGCAGCGCCAUGACAAUAAUGUGAGGCGGAAUUAGGGUCAACAGGGUCAUUGUGAGGCUGACGGCUGGUCUCAGGCAACUCUCAAGUUCUGCAACACUUUUGCCAAGAUGAAUUCAGAGUAAGAUAGAC